UGCUGGUUGAGAAAAAAUGAAGGCUGUGUGUAUGGGUGUGUAUACAUAAUUUAUAUGUACACAUACAUAAAGAAAUAUAUUUAUCAUAUUGUUUGUGUGUGUGUGUUUGUGUGUGUGUGUGUCCAUAGAAGAAAUGGCUAAAUUGCCCUGGUUAAGAGCAGAUAAGAGCAGAGCAGCUGGGACCACACAGACAGACCUGUGUGAUACCUGUACUUACCACCAGUGUGAUCACAGGUAA
RNAcentral lists this small RNA (238 nucleotides) under Marmota monax (woodchuck). Lineage: Eukaryota; Metazoa; Chordata; Mammalia; Rodentia; Sciuridae. The record is from RNAcentral.